This 395-nucleotide ribosomal RNA is filed under the name Stramenopiles sp. MAST-3D. RNAcentral describes it as "partial small subunit ribosomal RNA". It matches the Rfam family "Eukaryotic small subunit ribosomal RNA", at positions 582 to 975 of the family's 1831-position model. The record is from RNAcentral.
AUUCCAGCUCCAAUAGCGUAUAUUAAAGUUGUUGCAGUUAAAAAGCUCGUAGUUGGAUUUCUGGGCUGAGCGACCGGUCCGCCGCUGUGCGGUGUGUACUCGUGUUCGACUCGGCUCAUCCUUGUGGGGAAACGCAUUUCGGCAUUAGGUUGUCGAGGCGGGGAACCGCAUCGUUUACUGUGAAAAAAUUAGAGUGUUUAAAGCAGGCAAAUUGCUGUGAAUACAUUAGCAUGGAAUAAUAACAUAGGACUUUGGUUCUAUUUUGUUGGUUGGAGGCCAAGGUAAUGAUUAAUAGGGAUAGUUGGGGGUAUUCAUAUUUAAUUGUCAGAGGUGAAAUUCUUGGAUUUAUGAAAGAUGAACUCAUGCGAAAGCAUUUACCAAGGAUGUUUUCAUUG